Monodelphis domestica (gray short-tailed opossum) is the source of this 557-nucleotide long non-coding RNA. RefSeq lists it as uncharacterized. The record is from RefSeq and is a predicted model, not a curated record. NCBI's taxonomy places the organism in Eukaryota, Metazoa, Chordata, Mammalia, Didelphimorphia, Didelphidae.
CUUAUCUUCCUUCAAGCCCAACUCCAGUAUUACUUCUCAUGUGAAGUCUUCCCUGAUUCCCCAUCCCACUCUCUUUUCACAUAUCUAAUUGAAAAUGAUUCUUUCCCUUCUCAGGCAUUGUCUACAUUGGAUAAUGUAGUGAAUAUAGUGAACUAAAUGCCUCUGACAAGUGAACUCAAAAGUGAUAACUGCAUCUGGUUUGCCCGUUUUAAGGAACCACUGGAGCUCCUUGAACAGGAAGAUGAUAUGAUCAGGCUUAGGAAGAUCACUUUAGCAGCUGAGUCCAUCCUUAAAUGAACUAGAGUGGAAGAGAUGAGGCAUGGCAAUAUUCAUCUACAACAGGAGCAACAUUACAUACCUUUUACUAAGUGAAACUGGUUAAGAUGUAUUGUCCAUCUUGUGGGGAUUGUGUGCCUUCCAGAUGAAACAACUUCUGGCAUGAACAUUUCUUAUACUGUGUGUAUACAUAUAUAUGCAUAUAUAUGCUUUUUCUUUAAAAAAUUGUUGCAUUGAAAUUCCCAAUUAUCUCUCAUUCUCCCUCCCUUUCCUGCACUAUA